UCAAGUGAAUAAGUGCAUCAGGCGGAUGCCUUGGCGAUGAUAGGCGACGAAGGACGUGUAAGCCUGCGAAAAGCGCGGGGGAGCUGGCAAUAAAGCUAUGAUUCCGCGAUGUCCGAAUGGGGAAACCCACUGCAUUCUGUGCAGUAUCCUAAGUUGAAUACAUAGGCUUAGAGAAGCGAACCCGGAGAACUGAACCAUCUAAGUACCCGGAGGAAAAGAAAUCAACCGAGAUUCCGCAAGUAGUGGCGAGCGAACGCGGAGGAGCCUGUACGUAAUAACUGUCGAGAUAGAAGAACAAGCUGGGAAGCUUGACCAUAGCGGGUGACAGUCCCGUAUUCGAAAUCUCAACAGCGGUACUAAGCGUACGAAAAGUAGGGCGGGACACGUGAAAUCCUGUCUGAAUAUGGGGGGACCAUCCUCCAAGGCUAAAUACUCAUCAUCGACCGAUAGUGAACCAGUACCGUGAGGGAAAGGCGAAAAGAACCCCGGGAGGGGAGUGAAACAGAACCUGAAACCUGAUGCAUACAAACAGUGGGAGCGCCCUAGUGGUGUGACUGCGUACCUUUUGUAUAAUGGGUCAACGACUUACAUUCAGUAGCGAGCUUAACCGGAUAGGGGAGGCGUAGGGAAACCGAGUCUUAAUAGGGCGAUGAGUUGCUGGGUGUAGACCCGAAACCGAGUGAUCUAUCCAUGGUCAGGUUGAAGGUGCCGUAACAGGUACUGGAGGACCGAACCCACGCAUGUUGCAAAAUGCGGGGAUGAGCUGUGGGUAGGGGUGAAAGGCUAAACAAACUCGGAGAUAGCUGGUUCUCCCCGAAAACUAUUUAGGUAGUGCCUCGAGCAAGACACUGAUGGGGGUAAAGCACUGUUAUGGCUAGGGGGUUAUUGCAACUUACCAACCCAUGGCAAACUCAGAAUACCAUCAAGUGGUUCCUCGGGAGACAGACAGCGGGUGCUAACGUCCGUUGUCAAGAGGGAAACAACCCAGACCGCCGGCUAAGGUCCCAAAUGAUAGAUUAAGUGGUAAACGAAGUGGGAAGGCACAGACAGCCAGGAUGUUGGCUUAGAAGCAGCCAUCAUUUAAAGAAAGCGUAAUAGCUCACUGGUCGAGUCGUCCUGCGCGGAAGAUGUAACGGGGCUCAAAUCUAUAACCGAAGCUGCGGAUGCCGGUUUACCGGCAUGGUAGGGGAGCGUUCUGUAGGCUGAUGAAGGUGCAUUGUAAAGUGUGCUGGAGGUAUCAGAAGUGCGAAUGUUGACAUGAGUAGCGAUAAAGCGGGUGAAAAGCCCGCUCGCCGAAAGCCCAAGGUUUCCUACGCAACGUUCAUCGGCGUAGGGUAAGUCGGCCCCUAAGGCGAGGCAGAAAUGCGUAGUCGAUGGGAAACAGGUUAAUAUUCCUGUACUUGAUUCAAAUGCGAUGUGGGGACGGAGAAGGUUAGGUUGGCAAGCUGUUGGAAUAGCUUGUUUAAGCCGGUAGGUGGAAGACUUAGGCAAAUCCGGGUUUUCUUAACACCGAGAAGUGAUGACGAGUGUCUACGGACACGAAGCAACCGAUACCACGCUUCCAGGAAAAGCCACUAAGCUUCAGUUUGAAUCGAACCGUACCGCAAACCGACACAGGUGGGUAGGAUGAGAAUUCUAAGGCGCUUGAGAGAACUCGGGAGAAGGAACUCGGCAAAUUGAUACCGUAACUUCGGGAGAAGGUAUGCCCUCUAAGGUUAAGGACUUGCUCCGUAAGCCCCGGAGGGUCGCAGAGAAUAGGUGGCUGCGACUGUUUAUUAAAAACACAGCACUCUGCCAACACGAAAGUGGACGUAUAGGGUGUGACGCCUGCCCGGUGCCGGAAGGUUAAUUGAAGAUGUGCAAGCAUCGGAUCGAAGCCCCGGUAAACGGCGGCCGUAACUAUAACGGUCCUAAGGUAGCGAAAUUCCUUGUCGGGUAAGUUCCGACCCGCACGAAUGGCGUAACGAUGGCCACACUGUCUCCUCCCGAGACUCAGCGAAGUUGAAGUGGUUGUGAAGAUGCAAUCUACCCGCUGCUAGACGGAAAGACCCCGUGAACCUUUACUGUAGCUUUGCAUUGGACUUUGAAGUCACUUGUGUAGGAUAGGUGGGAGGCUUGGAAGCAGAGACGCCAGUCUCUGUGGAGUCGUCCUUGAAAUACCACCCUGGUGUCUUUGAGGUUCUAACCCAGACCCGUCAUCCGGGUCGGGGACCGUGCAUGGUAGGCAGUUUGACUGGGGCGGUCUCCUCCCAAAGCGUAACGGAGGAGUUCGAAGGUUACCUAGGUCCGGUCGGAAAUCGGACUGAUAGUGCAAUGGCAAAAGGUAGCUUAACUGCGAGACCGACAAGUCGGGCAGGUGCGAAAGCAGGACAUAGUGAUCCGGUGGUUCUGUAUGGAAGGGCCAUCGCUCAACGGAUAAAAGGUACUCCGGGGAUAACAGGCUGAUUCCGCCCAAGAGUUCAUAUCGACGGCGGAGUUUGGCACCUCGAUGUCGGCUCAUCACAUCCUGGGGCUGUAGUCGGUCCCAAGGGUAUGGCUGUUCGCCAUUUAAAGUGGUACGUGAGCUGGGUUUAAAACGUCGUGAGACAGUUUGGUCCCUAUCUGCAGUGGGCGUUGGAAGUUUGACGGGGGCUGCUCCUAGUACGAGAGGACCGGAGUGGACGAACCUCUGGUGUACCGGUUGUAACGCCAGUUGCAUAGCCGGGUAGCUAAGUUCGGAAGAGAUAAGCGCUGAAAGCAUCUAAGCGCGAAACUCGCCUGAAGAUGAGACUUCCCUUGCGGUUUAACCGCACUAAAGGGUCGUUCGAGACCAGGACGUUGAUAGGUGGGGUGUGGAAGCGCGGUAACGCGUGAAGCUAACCCAUACUAAUUGCCCGUGAGGCUUGACUCU
RNAcentral lists this ribosomal RNA (2890 nucleotides) under Neisseria gonorrhoeae MS11. Its description in RNAcentral is "bacterial LSU rRNA". It matches the Rfam family "Bacterial large subunit ribosomal RNA". Lineage: Bacteria; Pseudomonadati; Pseudomonadota; Betaproteobacteria; Neisseriales; Neisseriaceae. The record is from RNAcentral.